Molecule: ribosomal RNA, 497 nt
Filed under: uncultured bacterium
Lineage: Bacteria
Description: partial 16S ribosomal RNA
Rfam family: Bacterial small subunit ribosomal RNA
Source: RNAcentral
GAUGAACGCUGGCGGCGUGCCUAAUACAUGCAAGUCGAGCGAACAGAUGAGGAGCUUGCUCCUCUGACGUUAGCGGCGGACGGGUGAGUAACACGUGGAUAACCUACCUAUAAGACUGGGAUAACUUCGGGAAACCGGAGCUAAUACCGGAUAAUAUAUUGAACCGCAUGGUUCAAUAGUGAAAGACGGUUUUGCUGUCACUUAUAGAUGGAUCCGCGCCGCAUUAGCUAGUUGGUAAGGUAACGGCUUACCAAGGCAACGAUGCGUAGCCGACCUGAGAGAGUGAUCGGCCACACGGGAACGGAGACACGGUCCAGACGCCUACGGGAGGCAGCAGUAUGGAAUCUGCCGCAAUGGGCGAAAGCCUGACGGAGCAACGCCGCGUGAGUUAUGAAGGUCUUCGGAUCGUAAAACUCUGUUAUUAGGUAAGAACAAAUGUGGAAGUAACUAUGCACGUCUUGACGGUACCUAAUCAGAAAGCCACGGCUAACUACGUG